RNAcentral lists this unclassified non-coding RNA (378 nucleotides) under plant metagenome. RNAcentral describes it as "partial contains 5.8S ribosomal RNA, internal transcribed spacer 2, and large subunit ribosomal RNA". The stretch from base 1 to 105 matches the Rfam family "5.8S ribosomal RNA", at positions 50 to 154 of the family's 154-position model. The record is from RNAcentral.
GAAAUGCGAUAAGUAAUGUGAAUUGCAGAAUUCAGUGAAUCAUCGAAUCUUUGAACGCACCUUGCGCUCCUUGGUAUUCCUUGGAGCAUGCCUGUUUGAGUAUCAUGAAAUCUUCAAAGUAAAUCUUUUGUUAACUCAAUUGGUUUCUACUUUGGUAUUGGAGGUCUUUGCAGCUUCACACCUGCUCCUCUUUGUUCAUUAGCUGGAUCUCAGUGUUAUGCUUGGUUCCACUCGGCGUGAUAAGUUAUCUAUCGCUGAGGACACUGUAAAAGGUGGCCAAGGUAAAUGCAGAUGAACCGCUUCUAAUAGUUCAUUGACUUGGACAAUACUUUUAUGAUCUGAUCUCAAAUCAGGUAGGACUACGCGCUGAACUUAAGC